GAGAGACCAGGGGAGCUAAGUGAUUGAUGGAGCUUCCGGAAGUCUUGGCGGCUGUACCAGCGCUAAUGUUCCUCCUUUUCCUGAGGUGGAGUGGGCCGAAGAGGUGGUCAGGUAUUCUAAUCACAGAAUUACUGGAGCAUCAAGAAGUGCCUGCAUGCUUGGAAGGGCUUCCAGGCAGAUGAACACACCUCAGCACCGGGUGGCAUUUUCCCAGGGUGCAACCCGGAGCGGCUCUGGGUCACACUGACAAGGACAACAGGGUUAACAAUUUCCAGAGACAGCCCGUACAUAGAAGGAAUGUUUACUGAAAAAAAUGAAGAGGGGUCAGGGCAAGGCGAGGAGCGAGAAGCACCCCCAAGGAAACAGAGAAGACCAGUACAACUGUACCUCUUUGCCAGCUGCACCAUCCGUACCAGUCUCCUGGGGUGGAAGUGUCCAGCGCAGAGACUGCCACACUGCAAGAUGAAGGGGCUGGACACACGGAAGAGAGAGGCGGAACCCUGCACCCCCUCGACCUCAGCCCUACUGAGUCUCCAAUGGGGCCACGCUUCUGAGUGCACCUCCCCCUGUCAUCUGUAAUGUGAGGGGGAACCAGGCUUGAUAUGGCAUUCCCAAUCCAGGGC
This 623-nucleotide non-coding RNA is filed under the name Pan troglodytes (chimpanzee). The record is from RNAcentral. Lineage: Eukaryota; Metazoa; Chordata; Mammalia; Primates; Hominidae.